Molecule: ribosomal RNA, 279 nt
Filed under: uncultured bacterium
Lineage: Bacteria
Description: partial 16S ribosomal RNA
Rfam family: Bacterial small subunit ribosomal RNA
Source: RNAcentral
UGCCAGCAGCCGCGGUAAUACGGAAGGUGCGAGCGUUAAUCGGAAUUACUGGGCGUAAAGCGCACGUAGGCGGUUGGGUAAGUCGGAUGUGAAAGCCCUGGGCUUAACCUGGGAAUUGCAUUCGAUACUGCCCGACUAGAGUAUGGGAGAGGGUAGCGGAAUUCCGGGUGUAGCGGUGAAAUGCGUAGAUAUCCGGAGGAACAUCAGUGGCGAAGGCGGCUGCCUGGGCCAAUACUGACGCUGAGGCGCGAAGGCGUGGGUAGCGAACGGGAUUAGAUA